This 253-nucleotide unclassified non-coding RNA is filed under the name uncultured Sphingomonadaceae bacterium. RNAcentral describes it as "contains 16S-23S intergenic spacer region". It matches the Rfam family "Bacterial small subunit ribosomal RNA", at positions 524 to 776 of the family's 1533-position model. The record is from RNAcentral. Lineage: Bacteria; Pseudomonadati; Pseudomonadota; Alphaproteobacteria; Sphingomonadales; Sphingomonadaceae.
UACGGAGGGGGCUAGCGUUGUUCGGAAUUACUGGGCGUAAAGCGCACAUAGGCGGCGAUUUAAGUCAGGGGUGAAAGCCCGGAGCUCAACUCCGGAACUGCCCUUGAGACUGGAUUGCUAGAAUCUUGGAGAGGCGGGUGGAAUUCCGAGUGUAGAGGUGAAAUUCGUAGAUAUUCGGAAGAACACCAGUGGCGAAGGCGGCCCGCUGGACAAGUAUUGACGCUGAGGUGCGAAAGCGUGGGGAGCAAACAGG